GAUGAACGCUAGCUACAGGCUUAACACAUGCAAGUCGCGGGGCAGCAUGGGGGUUGCUUGCAAUCCCCGAUGGCGACCGGCGCACGGGUGAGUAAUGCGUAUCCAACCUGCCCUUCACCACGGGAUAACCCGGCGAAAGUCGGACUAAUACCGUAUGUUGUCCAUUGACGGCAUCCGAUUUGGACGAAAGGCUUGGCGGUGAGGGAUGGGGAUGCGUCCGAUUAGCCAGACGGCGGGGUAACGGCCCACCGUGGCUACGAUCGGUAGGGGUUCUGAGAGGAAGGUCCCCCACACUGGAACUGAGACACGGUCCAGACUCCUACGGGAGGCAGCAGUGAGGAAUAUUGGUCAAUGGGCGUAAGCCUGAACCAGCCAAGUAGCGUGCAGGAUGACGGCCCUAUGGGUUGUAAACUGCUUUUAUGCGGGGAUAAAGUGGCCCACGUGUGGGCUUUUGCAGGUACCGCAUGAAUAAGGACCGGCUAAUUCCGUG
This 490-nucleotide ribosomal RNA is filed under the name uncultured bacterium. RNAcentral's name for it is "partial 16S ribosomal RNA". It matches the Rfam family "Bacterial small subunit ribosomal RNA", at positions 28 to 507 of the family's 1533-position model. The record is from RNAcentral.